Molecule: ribosomal RNA, 361 nt
Filed under: uncultured bacterium
Lineage: Bacteria
Description: partial 16S ribosomal RNA
Rfam family: Bacterial small subunit ribosomal RNA
Source: RNAcentral
CCUACGGGUGGCAGCAGUGAGGAAUAUUGGUCAAUGGACGAGAGUCUGAACCAGCCAAGUAGCGUGAAGGAUGACUGCCCUAUGGGUUGUAAACUUCUUUUAUAUGGGAAUAAAACAGGGUAUGCAUACCCUCUUGUAUGUACCAUAUGAAUAAGGAUCGGCUAACUCCGUGCCAGCAGCCGCGGUAAUACGGAGGAUCCGAGCGUUAUCCGGAUUUAUUGGGUUUAAAGGGAGCGUAGGUGGUUUGUUAAGUCAGUUGUGAAAGUUUGCGGCUCAACCGUAAAAUUGCAGUUGAAACUGGUGGUUUUGAGGAGAGUAGAGGUGGGGGGAAUUGGUGUUGAAGCGGAGAAAUUUUAAGAUA